GCGCUGCUGAGGAGUCCCACAAUAGGACGAAACGGCCGUCUAGCGC
Molecule: non-coding RNA, 46 nt
Organism: Schistosoma curassoni
Lineage: Eukaryota; Metazoa; Platyhelminthes; Trematoda; Strigeidida; Schistosomatidae
Source: Rfam